Molecule: long non-coding RNA, 734 nt
Filed under: Gallus gallus (chicken)
Lineage: Eukaryota; Metazoa; Chordata; Aves; Galliformes; Phasianidae
Description: lncRNA (ENSGALG00010008786.1)
Source: RNAcentral
CUGGAAGAUGGAUAAAAUGGAAAUUGGUUGUGACUUCCUCUCUGUUCACCUGAUGAAUGCAGUGAAGAAUGAUGCCGUUUCAAAAGAUGUGAAUUUUGACCUUGCUGGAUAUCUAGGGAAACCUGGCUAGUGGAUGGGAUAACAGACUAAGCAGGGGAGAGAAUUAUGUUGGAGUAUCAACGCUGGCACAAGGGGAUGAAGGAAAGCCUUUUUGUCUUUGCUUGGGAGCGAGCUGUCAGAGCUACUCAUCUGCUUGCAGACUGGUGACCUUGCUGGCCAAAGGCAGCUGUUGGAGGUAACCCGUUGUAAACGAGUACUCCCAGAUGGAGACUUCCCCAAAAUGCUUUCCAAGGAAAGGUCUAAUUUACAGUUUUUCUUUUUUCCCAGAUGCUUACGUUGGUGAUUAGCAUGGUGAGGUUAGUCUGCCAACAGUUACGUCAGUCACAAAGCCCUGGUGUAGUUAUAUUGGCAGCAAAAUGACAGUGAUAAAUGAUAUAGUGUAUUUUAUGGGGGGCGAUGAGGGAGGAAGGAUGGGGAAGAACAUUUGAACAAGCUUUUCUGGUCAAGUACUGUUCUUCUGGUAUAAAAUGGAAACUGUAGUAGGAAUGUUUUCCUAUUUUAAUAUGAUGUGUGAACAGACCAUCCUGUAAAAAUAGGACAAAUGUGUUUUUUCUUAAUUUUAUAUUUCACGGGGAAAAAUAUGACCUGCAAAUUUAACACCUCUGUGUUUACAG